This 252-nucleotide ribosomal RNA is filed under the name uncultured bacterium. RNAcentral's name for it is "partial 16S ribosomal RNA". It matches the Rfam family "Bacterial small subunit ribosomal RNA", at positions 524 to 776 of the family's 1533-position model. The record is from RNAcentral.
GACAGAGGAGGCGAGCGUUAUCCGGAGUUAUUGGGCGUAAGGGUACGUAGGCGGCUGGUCGAGUCUGGGGUUAAAGACCACAGCUUAACUGUGGGGGGGCCUUGGAAACUGACCGGCUGGAGUGGGGCAGGGGUUGCGGGAAUUCCCGGUGUAGCGGUGAAAUGCGUAGAUAUCGGGAAGAACACCUGAGGCGAAAGCGAGCAACUGGGCCCUAACUGACGCUGAGGUACGAAAGCUAGGGGAGCGAAGGGG